UGUUAAAAAUUUUAUCUAUUUGUAUGGUUAAAAACUAACAUAGUUGAUAGAAUAACCAAACAAUUAUAUUUGACGUGACAUGUGUACCUCAUGCUGAUGUAUAAAGACUCAUUUUUAAUAGAAAUAGAUGAAACUUUUGAUA
Gossypium hirsutum (cotton) is the source of this 142-nucleotide non-coding RNA. Lineage: Eukaryota; Viridiplantae; Streptophyta; Magnoliopsida; Malvales; Malvaceae. The record is from Rfam.